Molecule: ribosomal RNA, 334 nt
Filed under: Staphylococcus aureus
Lineage: Bacteria; Bacillati; Bacillota; Bacilli; Caryophanales; Staphylococcaceae
Description: partial 23S ribosomal RNA
Rfam family: Bacterial large subunit ribosomal RNA
Source: RNAcentral
GAUUAAGUUAUUAAGGGCGCACGGUGGAUGCCUUGGCACUAGAAGCCGAUGAAGGACGUUACUAACGACGAUAUGCUUUGGGGAGCUGUAAGUAAGCUUUGAUCCAGAGAUUUCCGAAUGGGGAAACCCAGCAUGAGUUAUGUCAUGUUAUCGAUAUGUGAAUACAUAGCAUAUCAGAAGGCACACCCGGAGAACUGAAACAUCUUAGUACCCGGAGGAAGAGAAAGAAAAUUCGAUUCCCUUAGUAGCGGCGAGCGAAACGGGAAGAGCCCAAACCAACAAGCUUGCUUGUUGGGGUUGUAGGACACUCUAUACCUGUCUCUUAUACACAUCU